RNAcentral lists this ribosomal RNA (138 nucleotides) under uncultured eukaryote. RNAcentral's name for it is "partial 18S ribosomal RNA". It matches the Rfam family "Eukaryotic small subunit ribosomal RNA", at positions 1299 to 1458 of the family's 1831-position model. The record is from RNAcentral.
UGGUGGGUUGCCUUGUCAGGUUGAUUCCGGUAACGAACGAGACCUCAGCCUGCUAAAUAGUCAACAUCACAACUGUGGUGUGCAGACUUCUUAGAGGGACUAUUGGCGUUUAGCCAAUGGAAGUAUGAGGCGAUAACA